ACUACUUUCGCGAAAGGACACUUUAUUAAUUGUGUUGUGUGUACGUGUUUUAUUGAAAAUGACGAGUUUGCAAUGCAUCAAUUGCAAUGUUCGCUUGUCCCGAAGAAGAAGACACGCUUUAUCCAAUGACGGUGAAGAUAUCGUCAACACUAUUCGUCUGUGGACAUAUCUUAGAGAUGUAAGUAGUUUCCACAUAACAUUGUGUGUACGAAUGGGCCAUAGUUACGAACUUCAAUAACUUUUAUGUGUGAUAUCACACUAAAUAAACACAUAAGUAAUCGGUAACAUGUAUUAUUUACUUGCCUUACUUGGUUUGCAUAACACUGUUAUAAUUUAUUAGUACCUAUUAUUUUGUUUAAUGGUGAGCCAUACUCAAAAUCAUUUAAUUAUUUCUAGAUUACACCAGAUGACCAUGUUUACCAUGAAUGCUGGCAGCUAGCUAGUCAUUCAUGUUCUUCUGAUAAUAUGCCGAGAAGACACAUAGGCCAUCAGUGUUUGUGUUGUAUGUGGACAACCCAUACUAAGAAUCAGGCAAUGCAGAAUUUUGAUUGAAGAAGAACAAAGAACGGCGUACACAAUUGCUACUUGGAUCUAACCACGACAGCUUCAUCCUGAAGAUAAAGCUUGUGUGCGGUGUUGGUUAAGAGUGAGAACUAAGGAUACUUCACUAAAUGAAGAUAUUCAAUCCGUUAAACCUAAUCAGCAGAAAAGUGAUAAUUCUGAACUGAUGUGUGCUGCAUGUGGUCAAAGUCUUACUCCCAACAACACCUGCUUGUUUGUUGGAGCACCAGCAGGUAUAUAAUAAUAUGAAAUAACAUAUUUUUAGUAAUUAGCUUCUAAAAACGCAAUGCAAAGAGCAAUUACAAUUUUAUGUUGCUAAAUGUAAGACACUAAUGAUGUUGGCUCUACUAACAACAAAAAGAUCCUGGUCUUUCCAUUCUCUACUCCAGUGAACAAUAAAUAUAUUUAGUAUUUUUGGAAAGGUCUUCGGUAAAAACCACCAAUCCUUGUGUGUCAAGAUUUAUUCUCUAGCCUGGUUAUUUUUUGCGCAAUUUAUAUACAUGAAUGUUAUUUAUUUACAGACACCUUCCAUGAAUGAAGUUUGUGAAGUUUGCUGGGGCCAAGUAUGCAAUUUGAGCUUCUAUGAUCCAGAUGGUCUAUGUUGCUUCAAGCUAAAAUAAAGUCCUGCCACUCUUCUCCUAAUAGAAACAAAUAUGAAUAGCCGGGACACAAUCAAAAGUGAUUGCUGUAAUUGUAUUGUAGGUUUAAGAACAGUGGGAUGCUGCUCGCAUGUUAUGAGCAUUCUUUGGUAUUUGAGUUAUGCUUGCCAUGAGGGUAUGACCCGACCUGCCCCUUUUUUGGAUGAAGUAAUAUUAAGAACCAAUCAAGUAAUUAUGUAUAAGAAAAUAAAGUAAAUGUAUUCCUACAAAAA
Molecule: long non-coding RNA, 1432 nt
Organism: Spodoptera frugiperda (fall armyworm)
Lineage: Eukaryota; Metazoa; Arthropoda; Insecta; Lepidoptera; Noctuidae
Exons: 2
Source: RefSeq, a predicted model, not a curated record